GUGGCGGACGGGUGAGUAAAAUGUAGGAAUCUGCCUUGAGGAGGGGGAUAACUUGGGGAAACUCAAGCUAAUACCACAUAAGACCUAUGGGUGAAAGCAGGGGAUCGAAAGACCUUGCGCCUUAAGAUGAGCCUACAACGGAUUAGCUAGUUGGGGGGGUAAAGGCCCACCAAGGCUACGAUCUGUAGCUAGUCUGAGAGGAUGGCCAGCCACACUGGGACUGAGACACGGCCCAGACUCCUACGGGAGGCAGCAGUGGGGAAUAUUGGACAAUGGGGGAAACCCUGAUCCAGCAAUGCCGCGUGUGUGAAGAAGGCCUUCGGGUUGUAAAGCACUUUCAGUGGGGAGGAAGGGGUGUUAGUUAAUACCUAACAUCAUUGACGUUACCUACAGAAGAAGCACCGGCUAACUCUGUGCCAGCAGCCGCGGUAAUACAGAGGGUGCAAGCGUUAAUCGGAAUUACUGGGCGUAAAGCGUGUGUAGGUGGUUGAAUAAGUUAGAUGUGAAAUCCCCGGGCUUAACCUGGGCACUGCGUUUAAGACUGUUUAACUAGAGUGCUGUAGAGGAUAGUGGAAUUUCCAGUGUAGCGGUGAAAUGCGUAGAUAUUGGAAGGAACACCAGUGGCGAAGGCGACUAUCUGGACAGACACUGACACUGAGACACGAAAGCGUGGGGAGCAAACAGGAUUAGAUACCCUGGUAGUCC
This 705-nucleotide ribosomal RNA is filed under the name uncultured Alteromonadales bacterium. RNAcentral's name for it is "bacterial SSU rRNA". It matches the Rfam family "Bacterial small subunit ribosomal RNA", at positions 95 to 796 of the family's 1533-position model. Lineage: Bacteria; Pseudomonadati; Pseudomonadota; Gammaproteobacteria; Alteromonadales. The record is from RNAcentral.